GACGAACGCUGGCGGCGUGCUUAACACAUGCAAGUCGAACGGAAAGGCCCUGCUUUUGUUGGGUUCUCGAGUGGCGAACGGGUGAGUAACACGUGAGUAACCUGCCCCUUACUUUUGUAUAACUUCAGGAAACUGUGUCUAAUACCGGAUAUGAUCUCCUGCUGCUUGGUGUGGGUUGGUAAGUUUCGGCGGUUGGGGAUGGACUCGCGGCUUAUCAGCUUGUUGGUGGGGUAGUGGCUUACCAAGGGUUUGACGGGUAGCAGGCCUGAGAGGGUGACCGGCGAAAUUGGGACUGAGAUACGGCACAGAAUGCUACGGGAGGCAGCAGUGGGGAAUAUUGCAAAAUGGGAGGAAGCAUGAUGCAGAAACGCAGCGUGCGGGAUGACGGCCUUCGGGUUGUAAAACGAAUUAGAAUGAGAAGAAGAGUGAGUGACGGUAAUGGGUAAAGAAGCAACGGCUAACUACGUG
This 468-nucleotide ribosomal RNA is filed under the name uncultured bacterium. RNAcentral's name for it is "partial 16S ribosomal RNA". It matches the Rfam family "Bacterial small subunit ribosomal RNA", at positions 28 to 507 of the family's 1533-position model. The record is from RNAcentral.